This 454-nucleotide ribosomal RNA is filed under the name uncultured Rikenellaceae bacterium. RNAcentral's name for it is "partial 16S ribosomal RNA". It matches the Rfam family "Bacterial small subunit ribosomal RNA", at positions 341 to 792 of the family's 1533-position model. Lineage: Bacteria; Pseudomonadati; Bacteroidota; Bacteroidia; Bacteroidales; Rikenellaceae. The record is from RNAcentral.
ACGGAAGGCAGCAGUGAGGAAUAUUGGUCAAUGGACGCAAGUCUGAACCAGCCAUGCCGCGUGCAGGAAUAAGGCCCUAUGGGUCGUAAACUGCUUUUGUGGUGGAGCAAUAAGUCGUACGUGUACGGCGAUGAGAGUACAUCACGAAUAAGCAUCGGCUAACUCCGUGCCAGCAGCCGCGGUAAUACGGAGGAUGCAAGCGUUAUCCGGAUUUAUUGGGUUUAAAGGGUGCGUAGGCUGUGGUCCAAGUCAGGGGUGAAAGCCCGGAGCUCAACUCCGGAACUGCCUUUGAUACUGGAUUGCCGGAAUACGGAUGCCGUGGGAGGAAUGAGUAGUGUAGCGGUGAAAUGCAUAGAUAUUACUCAGAACACCGAUUGCGAAGGCAUCUCACGAAUCCGUCAUUGACGCUGAGGCACGAAAGCGUGGGGAUCAAACAGGAUUAGAUACCCUGGUA